UGGGGAAUAUUGCACAAUGGGCGCAAGCCUGAUGCAGCGACGCCGCGUGGGGGGAUGACGGCCUUCGGGUUGUAAAACCUCUUUCAGCAGGGACGAAGCGAAAGUGACGGUACCUGCAGAAGAAGCACCGGCCAACUACGUGCCAGCAGCCGCGGUAAUACGUAGGGUGCGAGCGUUGUCCAGAAUUACUGGGCGUAAAGAGCUCGUAGGUGGUUUGUCGCGUUGUUCGUGAAAACCGGGGGCUUAACCCCUCGGGCGUGCGGGCGAUACGGGCAGACUAGAGUACUGCAGGGGAGACUGGAAUUCCUGGUGUAGCGGUGGAAUGCGCAGAUAUCAGGAGGAACACCGGUGGCGAAGGCGGGUCUCUGGGCAGUAACUGACGCUGAGGAGCGAAAGCGUGGGGAGCGAACAGGAUUAGAUACCCUGGUAGUCCACGCCGUAAACGGUGGGUACUAGGUGUGGGUUUCCUUCCUUGGGAUCCGUGCCGUAGCUAACGCAUUAAGUACCCCGCCUGGGGAGUACGGCCGCAAGGCUAAACUUAAAUGAAUUGACGGGGUCAUAGCUGUUUCCU
This 571-nucleotide ribosomal RNA is filed under the name uncultured bacterium. RNAcentral describes it as "partial 16S ribosomal RNA". It matches the Rfam family "Bacterial small subunit ribosomal RNA", at positions 355 to 1375 of the family's 1533-position model. The record is from RNAcentral.